AUGAGUCCAAAUUUCCAUGAUAUCAUAAGGUCAAGAUCAUGGCAACAAAUCCAGUUGAAGUGAUGAAGAUUAAACCUUAGCAGGGAGCAACCUGGAGUAAGCUGACACUUCUGAAGUGGUUGAAGAUGUGAUGGUAUAAGUAGGUUUUUCCACCCUAUGGGGAGGGGAAAAAAAAGCUUUAAUUACAAAGUGUACAAGGUUCAUUGCUUCUCAGGACUUUAGCAUCUUUUAUUACAGAGACAAAAAUGCAACACUGAAAACACAUCUGAAGUCACCUGCUGAUGUGUGGUGUUUCCUCUCCUGAGACACUAGAUUCACAUCCUCAAGUAUCUCCACAAUAGGGGUGAAGUCCUUGUUUGGUAUAUGGCCAUAUCUGACCAGUCACUACACUGACAUUUCAGUUCAGCUUAUGUAGUGGUGGCAUGACCAUUCCACCUCAUGAACAGAGAACAGUCCCUAGAGAAACUGAAUGGAAGACUAAACAAAUAAUGGAAGUUCUGGUGCAGUGGCUGAGCUAGAAACCCUGCAAGGUUAAAAAGGUUUCACCCAAAUGCCUGAGAUCCUUCAAGAACUACAAGAAAGAUCAAAACCUUACAGAUGAUAAACCUUCCCAGUCCUGAUCAGAUAAUGAGACCUCACUACAAGUUUGUGCUGAUUUAUCCAGCCUACAGAAAGGAUUGCCCUUGUUUCAGGAGAGAGAAAAGGACUCUAAUGCAGAAGUUCUGUAAAAUCUCACUGCAGCUUCACAUUCAUGGUAAAUUUUACCAUGCGUGGGUAAAUGAUUGGCCUAAUUAUGUUUCUGAUAUCUACCACAGAAGUUGUAUUAUUUCCUUCUGUUCCCCCAUCUGUCUCUACCCAUCUGUUUUCUCUUAUGGUUGGCCUGUAAGAUCUUCGGGGCGGGGGUUGUUUUUUGUUUCUGUGUACAGCAUCUAA
This 933-nucleotide long non-coding RNA is filed under the name Anser cygnoides (Swan goose). RNAcentral's name for it is "lncRNA (ENSACDG00005018765.1)". Lineage: Eukaryota; Metazoa; Chordata; Aves; Anseriformes; Anatidae. The record is from RNAcentral.